This is a long non-coding RNA of Oreochromis niloticus (Nile tilapia), 342 nucleotides long. RefSeq lists it as uncharacterized. NCBI's taxonomy places the organism in Eukaryota, Metazoa, Chordata, Actinopteri, Cichliformes, Cichlidae. The record is from RefSeq and is a predicted model, not a curated record. The transcript has 3 exons.
GUGACAUCAGCGGUCAUGGAGAGUCUCCAUCCAGCUGGAUCACUGUCACAGACAAACACACCACCACACCUCCACCUACAUCCACACCUUCACCUGAUUUCUCCUGUGUCCCUCUAUCACUCUUUUCUCUUGUCCUCACUGUGUCAGUUAUUAGUUCAGUCUGUGUUCUGGUUCUUGUGGUGUUACUGGUUCUGCUGGUGAGACGACAAGUUCAAAGGAAAUCUGAAUGGGAGGAGUUGGAGAUAAAGUCAUCAACAACAGCCAAUCAGAGGAAGCAGAGGUAGUUUUUAAUGUGCUGUGUGUUGAGGGUUCAUGUUGAUAUUCAAAGGAAAUAUAAAAAUU